This 472-nucleotide ribosomal RNA is filed under the name uncultured bacterium. RNAcentral's name for it is "bacterial SSU rRNA". It matches the Rfam family "Bacterial small subunit ribosomal RNA", at positions 355 to 825 of the family's 1533-position model. The record is from RNAcentral.
UCGGGAAUUUUGGACAAUGGGGGCAACCCUGAUCCAGCAAUGCCGCGUGAGUGAAGAAGGCCUUCGGGUUGUAAAGCUCUUUUGUCAGGGAAGAAACGGUAGUAGCGAAUAACUAUUACUAAUGACGGUACCUGAAGAAUAAGCACCGGCUAACUACGUGCCAGCAGCCGCGGUAAUACGUAGGGUGCAAGCGUUAAUCGGAAUUACUGGGCGUAAAGCGUGCGCAGGCGGUUGUGUAAGUCAGAUGUGAAAUCCCCGGGCUCAACCUGGGAAUUGCAUUUGAGACUGCACGGCUAGAGUGUGUCAGAGGGGGGUAGAAUUCCACGUGUAGCAGUGAAAUGCGUAGAUAUGUGGAGGAAUACCGAUGGCGAAGGCAGCCCCCUGGGAUAACACUGACGCUCAUGCACGAAAGCGUGGGGAGCAAACAGGAUUAGAUACCCUGGUAGUCCCUGAGCGGGCUGGCAAGGCGCAU